RNAcentral lists this ribosomal RNA (1426 nucleotides) under Scinax jolyi. RNAcentral describes it as "partial 16S large subunit ribosomal RNA". It matches the Rfam family "Bacterial large subunit ribosomal RNA", at positions 133 to 2597 of the family's 2925-position model. The record is from RNAcentral. Lineage: Eukaryota; Metazoa; Chordata; Amphibia; Anura; Hylidae.
GCUGAAAAUCUAGCUCGCUCCCUCGAAUGAAACUAUUUACCUUAAUAAAUAAACUAAAACAUUUUUAUAAUUUAGUAUAGGAGAUAAAAAAAUUCAAUGAAGCAAUAUAAAUAGUACCGUAAGGGAAAGAUGAAAUAAAAAUGAAAAUCUCUAAGCAUAAAAAAAUAGAGAUUAACUCUCGUACCUUUUGCAUCAUGGUUUAACUAGUCUAACCAAGCAAAAAGCAUUUCAGUUUGACUUCCCGAAACUAAGCGAGCUACUUCGAAGCAGCCUCCUGGGCACACCCGUCUCUGUUGCAAAAGAGUGGGAUGACUUCCAAGUAGCGGCGAUACACCUAACGAGCUUAGUGAUAGCUGGUUACUCAAGAAACGGAUUUUAGUCCCGCCUAAAGCUUCCCUAACUUAUACUAAAACUAUACCCCAAGCUUUAGAGUAAAUCAAAUAAGGUACAGCCUAUUUGACACAGGAAACAACCUAAACUGAUGGGUAAGACAAUUUUUGCAUUAUCUUAGUAGGCCUAAGAGCAGCCACCUAAAAGAGCGUCAUAGCUUCGCUAAACUAACCCUCUAAUACCCACUUAAACUCUAAACCCUCUACCCCUAUUGAGUAAUUCUAUAAUUUAUAGAAAAUUUUAUGUUAAAACUAGUAACAAGAAGCCAAACCUUCUCUUAAGUGCAAGCAUAAUUCAGACAGGAUAAACCACUGAUAAUUAACGCCCCUGAACACAUAUUAGUAACUCAACAAGAAAAACCUCAUAUUUUAUGCGUUAAUCUAACACAAGAGCACUCCAAGAAAGAUUUAAAGAAAAAGAAGGAACUCGGCAAAUAUUAGCCCCGCCUGUUUAUCAAAAACAUCGCCUCUUGCCUAAAAUAAGAGGUCCAGCCUGCCCAGUGACAUGUGUUCAACGGCCGCGGUAUCCUAACCGUGCGAAGGUAGCGUAAUCACUUGUUCUUUAAAUGAGGACUAGUAUGAAUGGCAUCACGAGGGUUAUACUGUCUCCUUUUUCUAAUCAGUGAAACUAAUCUCCCCGUGAAGAAGCGGGGUUAAAACUAUAAGACGAGAAGACCCUAUGGAGCUUUAAAUUUCCACUCAAAUGCUUACUAAUCUUUAAACUUCCUAGUAUAACUAAAAACUACUUUAGCAUUAUGAGCUAGAAUUUUAGGUUGGGGUGACCGCGGAGUACAAAAUAACCUCCACAUUGAAACAGGUUUAUAACCUUGAGCAACGGACAACAAUCCUACGCACUAAAAAAUUAACAUCCAUUGACCCAAAUUUUUGAUCAACGAACCAAGUUACCCUAGGGAUAACAGCGCAAUCCUCUUCAAGAGUUCCUAUCGCCAAGAGGGUUUACGACCUCGAUGUUGGAUCAGGGUAUCCCAGUGGUGCAGCCGCUACUAAUGGUUCGUUUGUUCAACGAUUAAAACCCU